Molecule: ribosomal RNA, 530 nt
Filed under: uncultured bacterium
Lineage: Bacteria
Description: partial 16S ribosomal RNA
Rfam family: Bacterial small subunit ribosomal RNA
Source: RNAcentral
UGGGGAAUAUUGCACAAUGGGCGCAAGCCUGAUGCAGCAACGCCGCGUGAGGGACGACGGCCUUCGGGUUGUAAACCUCUUUUAGUAGGGAAGAAGCGAAAGUGACGGUACCUGCAGAAAAAGCACCGGCUAACUACGUGCCAGCAGCCGCGGUAAUACGUAGGGUGCAAGCGUUGUCCGGAAUUAUUGGGCGUAAAGAGCUCGUAGGCGGUUUGUCGCGUCUGCUGUGAAAACCCGAGGCUCAACCUCGGGCCUGCAGUGGGUACGGGCAGACUAGAGUGCGGUAGGGGAGAAUGGAAUUCCUGGUGUAGCGGUGGAAUGCGCAGAUAUCAGGAGGAACACCGAUGGCGAAGGCAGUUCUCUGGGCCGUAACUGACGCUGAGGAGCGAAAGCGUGGGGAGCGAACAGGAUUAGAUACCCUGGUAGUCCACGCCGUAAACGUUGGGCGCUAGAUGUGGGGACCAUUCCACGGUUUCCGUGUCGCAGCUAACGCAUUAAGCGCCCCGCCUGGGGAGUACGGCCGCAAGGCU